GGCAUCUUCGUACAAAAAGAAUAAAAUAGGAAACCAGGAAACAAGAAAAGAUAAGAGAAAGGUCUAGCAUAGAAUAGUCUCCCAAUUCCUUUGCAAACAUAAUCAGGCUCAAGUAUUCUAUAAUUAUACAUCUUGUAGCACACAUAGGCACGGCCUAACUUAGCUAUUGAUGCACACACAAAAGAAGUUGAACAUUGAACCUUCCUAACAAAGAUUAAAACUAAGAGAACUCAGACAACCAUCACGGAAACUAUAGCUAGUGUACAAACUAAUAAAUAUUAAAAUGACCUGCUAGCAAGCAGACAGAUAAACUGCAUGAAAAAGGGUACUUAGGCCAACUUCUGUGCAAGUGAAAGAGAAAGGAGAAAGAGCAAGCAAAAAGAAUGUCAGCAGGUAAAUGCAAAUCAUUAAAAGCCUAUUCAAUGACUGCAAACUCAAGCCACCAAAGUCAAAUUUUCCAUUCAACAAAUAUGAUCAUGAGUGCAUAAGAAGGCAUUAGUCAUCACAGAGAAAAGAUUUGUAAGCAUUUUAUUGUUG
This 537-nucleotide long non-coding RNA is filed under the name Carica papaya (papaya). RNAcentral's name for it is "long non-coding RNA (CPAP_LNC002521)". The record is from RNAcentral. Lineage: Eukaryota; Viridiplantae; Streptophyta; Magnoliopsida; Brassicales; Caricaceae.